RNAcentral lists this ribosomal RNA (273 nucleotides) under Triticum aestivum (bread wheat). Its description in RNAcentral is "partial small subunit ribosomal RNA". Lineage: Eukaryota; Viridiplantae; Streptophyta; Magnoliopsida; Poales; Poaceae. The record is from RNAcentral.
AUGAGAUUUCCUUCGCCCAGGGAUGUAGACAAAGCUUGUUUUGUUGAAACUAUGAACAUUAAAAGCUGUGGGGCUAUGGUGAGUCUUAAGAAAUGCUCUGAAUCUGUUGGUGCCAAGGGUGUACUUAACAUUGGUUGGGUCCAUGUUAGCAACAUCCCUUUGGACAAAAGGCAUGAAAAAAAUAUUGCAUAUGUUGGAUCUUUGGUGGGUGUCACUUUAGACAUUGAUAAAUCUAUUGUGAACAGACCUGAGUCAGUUAGAAUCAAAUUGUGA